GGCCAGGUCAGCGGUCAAGCUGGCAGGUCCAGACUCGCAAGAACGACCCAGAGGGCUUGUUCAGGCUGGGUUUCUCAGCCCCCCACUGCGUCUGCUUCUGUGGGUCUCGCUGGGCCCCGGAACCUGCAUUGCUGCUGCGGGGGUCUGGGUCUGAGGGCGCGGCUCUCCCUGCUGGGUGGGAUGUGGGAGGCGGCAGACCCUGCUCCUGGGGGCAGUUGGUCUGGAGUGGUGACAGGGUGGCCCUGGGCAGGGUGUGGCCGGUUCCCUCUUGCCUGUGUUGAAGCAUGGACUCCUCUGGGCCCUCAGCCAUCAGCCCAGCCUCCCUCACGGAAGAUGGAGAAUUCCAGACAAAGCUCAUCCUUCCUCCAGGAAAGCCUGCUCCAUCUGCAGUAAUUGACGGCCUGAGAAGCUCUGCUCUUGGGCUGAACCCCAAGCAGGAGGAGGCCGGGGUCCUCAGGAGCAGCAGGGAGUCUCAGGACAGGAUGGCCAGGGCCAGAGGUCACCUGGUGAGGCGGACAUGUACUCCCAACCUGGGAGGUGUGGGGACUGCAAGAGAAACAGAGCUGGCAGUGGGAGGCUGGACGUGGUAGGCAAUGCCGGUCCUGCAUCCGGGCCCAUGACCGUUCUCACGGCGGCGAGCUGUGAUGGGGAGGCUGCCUUCCAGGUGCCAAGGUUAGAAAACCAAUCCCGGGCAGCCCUGCCGGGAGAAAGCUGGUAUUCUACAAAGGCGCGUGAAGAGGCGAACACGCA
RNAcentral lists this long non-coding RNA (750 nucleotides) under Pan troglodytes (chimpanzee). Its description in RNAcentral is "long non-coding RNA NONPTRT015409". The record is from RNAcentral. Lineage: Eukaryota; Metazoa; Chordata; Mammalia; Primates; Hominidae.